UACGAAGGGGGCUAGCGUUGCUCGGAAUUACUGGGCGUAAAGCGCACGUAGGCGGUCUUUUAAGUCGGGGGUGAAAUCCUGGAGCUCAACUCCAGAACUCGCCUUUGAUACUGGCGAGCUUGAGUUCGGGAGAGGUGAGUGGAACUGCGAGUGUAGAGGUGAAAUUCGUAGAUAUCCGCAAGAACACCAGUGGCGAAGGCGGCUCACUGGCCCGAUACUGACGCUGAGGUGCGAAAGCGUGGGGAGCAAACAGG
Molecule: ribosomal RNA, 254 nt
Filed under: uncultured bacterium
Lineage: Bacteria
Description: partial 16S ribosomal RNA
Rfam family: Bacterial small subunit ribosomal RNA
Source: RNAcentral